RNAcentral lists this long non-coding RNA (4144 nucleotides) under Sorghum bicolor (sorghum). RNAcentral's name for it is "long non-coding RNA (SBIC_LNC010539)". The record is from RNAcentral. Lineage: Eukaryota; Viridiplantae; Streptophyta; Magnoliopsida; Poales; Poaceae.
CCUGACUCCACCAAGUGAAGAACAUAGAUCUACGAGUACAAACACACUGGAGAUACUGGACACUCAGGCAAUCACUGCCCUAGGAUGCUUGAGGACGUAACUAAUGGAGUAACCCCGUUGUGGAAGUAGUUACUGACCUUCUGCCGGUCAAGAGAGACAAUCCAGGACGCCCCGUCAUCCCGAUCUCCAUCGGCAUGGUGGACUUCCCAGAAGCACUCUGCGACUUUGGCUUCAGCGUCAACAUUAUGCCCAGGAACCUCUACGUCUGAGUUGGUACCUUAUACGCUCCAGCAGACUUCGUGGUGAUAGAGACUGAUACUGAUGAGAGGGCACCCAUCAUCUUAGGGAGGCCAUUCCUGAACACCUCGGGAGCUGUCAUCUACGCUAGUGCUGCCAAGAUUAGUCUCUACAUCAAGGGGAGGAAGGAGACGUUUUCCUUCAAGAACAAGACUACACAAAUCUCAGAGCAAUCCCGACAUGAACCAAGGAAGAGGACCAACAGGAGGAACAGGAACAAGCAAAUGUGUACCGAGUCAGCUAAGAUGGUCACUGCAGCUCAAGGAGGUCAAGAUCGUCGACUCAAGUCACCUAUCUUGAUCAAGAAGGACGACCCUGGUGUUCCAAGCAUCGAGUGCACAAUCAACGGAUAUUCUUUUCAGAAGACACUCUACAACACCGGAUCUAACGUUAACAUAAUGGCCGCAGUCACUUAUCAGCUCCUGCAUGGAACCAUGUCCCUACAACCAACAUACAUUCAGCUCUAGAUGAUUUUAAGGUUAUUGACAUGGGAGAAGACAAGUAUGAUCCUCCAUCAUCCUUAGGAGACCGUUCCUCAGCACCGUUAAAGCAAUCAUCUACAUUGGAACCGGAGAAGUCCACAUUCACUUCUCCUCAGAGAAGGUACGCCACUGUUUUACUGACCCUAACUAUAUAGUUGAAGACUCUAAGCAGGUCAGGACAAGAAGACGACGACGCAACCGCAACCAGAGGAGGCAAAUCAUCAAGGACGGAUGGGUAGACUAUGAAGGAGAAGUUGUAAGGUCUGAAGAUAUACAACUUGAACAGAACUGUCCUGAGGAGACCGUAGCAUCGAGUCAGGUGUGGAGAAAAAAGAUAGUUAUACAUGAAGAGCAGGCUCCACCAGAACCACCGACUACGCCAUCCAGCGAAUCCCAGGACUACUGAGAAAAUGGAGAGUCCCGUUCGGAGGACUUAAAAACACCGAACGCCUUGCCAAGAGGUAAACUUGGUAGUUAUCUUUUUCCUUUCAAUUAUUUAAAAUAGUUUUCUUAGUUAAUCAGGUUCACAUCAUCUUGAAAAGAAAAUAAAAAUGUUAAAAAUAGUAAGCCCCAUGUGAGUAUGCUCAUGGCAUAAAACCCAUAAGUACAUUCACUGUGGUGGCGUAAAAAUGAAAUAAAUAUAUUCCUGUCCUAUAAAAAUAAAAAUAUAAAAAUAAAUUUAUGAUCCUACUAAAGAGAGUAAUAUUUAUUGAGGAGGCUCAACAUGAUAAAGGCUAGAUAUUUAUGCUAACACUUAACCAGUUCCACAAAGCAUUGUUGUCUAUUUGAGCUCCACAGAAUUCAAGGAUCAAAGAAGACUAGCAGACGGAGGACAUCCUAAUCACUGUCAGGGUGCUGCCGACAUUCAAAUAUACCUCCGCCACCUGCUAGCUACAUCAGGAGAAACUACGUCAAAAUCCAGCUUGGGGGAGAGCACCCCCAUUUAUCCAGCUAAGUGUUUCUACUCGCAUUAUACUUUACUCAAAUAAUAAAAAGAUGCAUAAUCAUGAAAAUCCAAAUAAAAAUUUUGUGCCUAUAUAUAUCUUUGCUUAGUUUGCUAAAUAAAUAAAUAAAUAAAGAUCGCUAUGAACCCUCAUGAUAAGCUCUCACAUGGAAAUAAUGAAUAGUUGCUCUGCCAUGACUAAUUCUCAAAAUUGAAAUCUCUCUCAAGUUUAGGCAUGACUGUUAUUAAUUAAGAUUUGCUCUAAACCUGAACUUGUGGGAAGAGUACUUGAUCUAAAGUCUAAGUCGUUAACGGAUAUGAUAUGGGAAGGUUGAGCUGCUGUUUAUCUGUUCCUAGAGAUGCUAGAAUUCUGGAGAAUUUUAUCUUUAAAAAUAUUUAAAAUGUUGCAUGAUGAGUUCCUGUAUGAUGAGAGUUUAAAUUCCUACCACAGCCAUAUAUACAUGCUUGUUAGACUAUGAACCACAAAUUUACUUUUUACUGCUUAUGAGCAUUGAGUGUGGUCAAGCUGUGUAGACCCUUAGGAGCUUGUCAUGUGGUUAAAAUCAAGAUUCACUUGCACGUUCACUCAUACAUGCUGCUUCUACUCCGGAAGUACGCAUCCACAUAUAUCCAUCAAUUUCCAUCUCCAGAACCACCCAAAAAUAUUCUUCUCCUAAUCUGGGAGAGAAUAGCCAAAAACAUUCUCCUAUUUCUGUUUUUCCCUGUGAAAUAAAUGCUCAAGUUAUCUUGGUUACUACCACUUGCUAUAUUAUCUCAUGAGAUGAGUGCUCUAAAAAAAAGAGAAAAAAAAGAGAUAUGAGGAAAUAAAAAGGGGCAAGUGCCCGAAACCUCGAAAGAAAAGAAAAAGUGAGAUGAGAGGUAAAAAUGGACAAGUGUCCGACAGUAGAAUUAGGGGUACAAGAUACUCACCUGAGAGAAAAGAAAAAAAAAGAAAAAAAAAGAAAAUAUAGAGCAUCUCAUUCUCCUCAAAAAGUUUCAAAACAGCAAGAAAGGUAUGUAUCCCCUCAAAAGAGCACAAGUAGAAUUAGACUUUCACCAUUGUUAUCACCAUCAUCACCAUACACCAUUCAUUCGCCACACAUGCACAUCUUGAUUUGACUUAUUGACUUGAUCUUCUGGAUCCAUGGUUUGACUAUGCAAUAAAUGUCUUGUAAGUAUGUAUUAGCUGUCUCCCACCUAUGAGCUCCAGAUAUCAAAAGAAAGCCUUAUUAGAGUAGGGUGAGAGAGAAGGCAAUGUCACUAUGCCUUAUACUAAAAAUACCACAUACCUUGAGAGAAGGCAUAUACCAUUACUGCCUUGGUAAGGAUCCAAAAAUACCACAAAAGAGAGACUAGAGAGAGUCAUACAAGGAAUCUCUGAGUUUUAUUUGAAAAUCUGCAAAAACUCCAGAGCUAUUGUUGAUCAAGAACAUUAGACAUGGUGCUUGACUAGACCGUUCUAUCUUUUAACUGCUGAAGACACAAGUGACGGUUACAAGCCCCAUGGUGAAAGGUAAAUGAGUAAGUUUUAAGUCUUAACAAUUUACCCUAACCUAGAGAUGAGUUCUUGUUUAAACGCAUGUGUAUCUUUAAGUUAUGAAACCACUGCAGAAACUCUUGAGUUCAUCUUUGCUCAGGGACGAGCAAAGGUUAAGCUUGGGGGAGCUUGUUGACGGUCCUUAAUGCUCACAUUUAACCAUCAACUAAUCAUAGAAAAUGAUCCAAAUUGCAACCAACACCUAGACUUAGGGUUUUAUCUAACAGAAUUCCACGAGUUUUGGUGUUUGUCUAUUUCUGCAGGGGGUUAUCAGGAAAUACGGAAGAGAGGCCCACACGUCGGGUUUACAUAGAGAUAUUAACGUGCCGCGCAAUUUUCUAUCAUCUAGAAGACUCCAGAAGCCAUGGGAACGAACGGGAAGGAAAUCGGGCUCGGAGGCAGGGCGCCCGCCCAAUUCUCCUGGGCGCCCGCCCAGCUACAGUGCCCAAUCAGGACUCUCUUUCGGGACAACGCUCCACCGACCUAAAGGAUCAAGGAAAACCGUGCGAUUAAUGUCGGUUUGAUCCAACGGCCCAUAUUCACUUGAAGGGACUAUAAAACCAGACUCCCUGGCCCCUGGAAAUCAUACCUCUUCUACAGAAUCAAAGCUAGGGUUUCAAUUCUUCAUCCAAGUAGAGAGGAUCCCUCUAGUUCUUCUAGUUCUACCUCUAGUUCAUCUAGAUCUAGUUCUAGUUCAUCUAGUUCUAGUUCUAGUUCCUCUAGUUCUAGUUCUAGUUCUAGUUAGUUCUAGUUGUAAUCUAGAAAAUAGGGAGAGAGAAGAGAAGAGCGGAGGAGGAGCCGGAUCUGUCGGAUCUUCCUCAACAUUAUACUUUUGCAGCAUCUGGUUCGUUCUUCAUCAUUCUCCAGGUUCUUCAAUUCAUAAUU